This 945-nucleotide ribosomal RNA is filed under the name Thalassiosira gravida. RNAcentral's name for it is "partial Bacterial small subunit ribosomal RNA". It matches the Rfam family "Bacterial small subunit ribosomal RNA", at positions 194 to 1123 of the family's 1533-position model. The record is from RNAcentral. Lineage: Eukaryota; Bacillariophyta; Thalassiosirophyceae; Thalassiosirales; Thalassiosiraceae.
UUAGUUAGCAAAAGUUUUUGGUUUUAUUAAUUGUUAAAAGAUGAGUUUGCGUAAGAUUAGGUUGUUGGUAAAAGUAAUAGUUUACCAAGCCUUUGAUCUUUAGUUGGUCUUAGAGGACGUACAACCACACUGGAACUGAGAUAAGGUCCAGGCUAUUUUUAGCCAGCAGUGAGGAAUAUUGGACAAUGAACGAAAGUUUGAUCCAGCAAUAUUAUGUGAAUGAUUGACGGCUAAUUUUUGGUUGUAAAGUUUUUUCGUUAAAAAUGAUAAUGACAUUAUUUAAAGAAGUUUUAGUCCCGGCUAAUCUCGUGCCAGCAGCCGCGGUAAUACGGGAGGGGCAAGCGUUAUUCGUAAUUACUGGGCGUACAGCGUCCGUAGAUUGUAAUAUAAGUUCUAUGUUAAAAUUUAAAGUUUAACUUUAAGAAAAGAUAAAAGACUGUUUUACUUGAGUUUAAUACGGAAGAGUAGAAUUUCAUGUUAAGGAGUAAAUUCCAAGAAUACAUGAAGGAACAUCGUUAGCGAAAGCAACUCUUUAGUACAAACUGACAUUGAGGGACGAAAGUGUAAGGAGCAAACAGGAUUAGAUACCCUGGUAGUUUACACUGUAAAUUCUGAGUGCUGUAAUUUAAAAAAAAUUUAGAUUUUUUAAGCUAACGCCAUAAGCAUUCCGCCUGAGGAGUAUGAUCGCAAGAUUGGAACUCAAAGGAAUUGACGGGAGCCUACAACGAGUGGUGGAGCAUGUGGUUUAAUGCGAUAAUCCGCGCAAAACCUUACCAACUCUUGACAUAUUGAAAAAAAAUUUGUGUUAACUCAAAUUUUUUUAUCAUUAAUUAAUAAAUUAAUUAAUUUUCACUACAGGUGUUGCACGACUGUCGUCAGCUCGUGUCGUAAGAUGUUUGGUUCAUUCCUUUUAACGAGCGCAACUCUUAUUUUUAAUAAUUUACU